This 237-nucleotide ribosomal RNA is filed under the name Triticum aestivum (bread wheat). RNAcentral's name for it is "partial small subunit ribosomal RNA". Lineage: Eukaryota; Viridiplantae; Streptophyta; Magnoliopsida; Poales; Poaceae. The record is from RNAcentral.
AUGGCCGGUGCGAGUGGUUUAGUUGCUUUUCUUCUUCUUUCAUCCAUGAUAGUCUCCGCAGCAGCACCUGCAACAUUAAUACCAAGAUGUGGCGAAUAUUUUCAUUCAUGGGGUGAGCACGACUCCUGCAUUCCUCCUGAAAAUGAUGAGUGCGACUCAUGGUGCAAGAAUCGAUGUGCCAGAGGGGUAUGCGAGCUCAAGCGAGGAAAACAUUAUUGCCAUUGUUACAAGAACUGA